Non-coding RNA from Lasiosphaeris hirsuta, 82 nucleotides. The record is from the annotation of a GenBank genome assembly. Lineage: Eukaryota; Fungi; Ascomycota; Sordariomycetes; Sordariales; Lasiosphaeriaceae.
GGCGUGGUAGCAGAGUGGUCUAAUGCGCAAUAUUAAGAGUCUUGUUCCUUCGGGAGCGUCGGUUCAAAUCUAGCCUACGUCG